This 452-nucleotide transfer RNA is filed under the name uncultured Bartonella sp. RNAcentral describes it as "partial 16S-23S ribosomal RNA intergenic spacer". The stretch from base 223 to 296 matches the Rfam family "tRNA". The record is from RNAcentral. Lineage: Bacteria; Pseudomonadati; Pseudomonadota; Alphaproteobacteria; Hyphomicrobiales; Bartonellaceae.
UCUUCAGAUGGUGAUCCCAAGCCUUCUGGCGAUUAUAAAGCUUUCAUGGGAAAGCGCUCAAGGCGCUUGUCCUAUUAUCUGGCUUAUUCUUUGUUCACCGGUUUGUUUUGUGUCGGCUGAUUAUUUUAAUUUGCUGGUUAUUUGAUUGUUCGGUUGUUUUAUGUGUAAUUAUGGUGUUUGUAUGUAAUUUUGCUGGUGAAGGUUGUCCCGGUAUGCUCCGGAGGGCUUGUAGCUCAGUUGGUUAGAGCGCGCGCUUGAUAAGCGUGAGGUCGGAGGUUCAAGUCCUCCCAGGCCCACCAAUGAUGUCUGGUUGUGCUUAUGAUCGCUCAUAUUCGAUUGCAUUUAGGGCACGAGCAAGACAAGAAAGAUUUGAGGUGCUUUAAUUUUUAGAUUUAGGGGCCGUAGCUCAGCUGGGAGAGCACCUGCUUUGCAAGCAGGGGGCGUCGGUUAAA